CUAGAGGUUAUUGGAGGUUAGUGGAAUUUCCGGUGGAGCGGUGAAAUGUGUUGAUAUCGGAAAGAAUGCCAAAAGCGAAAGCAGCUAACUACAAUAAACCUGACGGUGAGAGACGAAAGCUUGGGUAGCAAACAGGAUUAGAUACCCUGGUAGUCCAAGCCCUAAAUUAUGUCCGCUAGAUGUCUUUUCGAUUCGUCGGAGGGGUGUCGCAAGUUAACACGUUAAGCGGAUCGCCUGGGUAGUAUACUCGCAAGAGUGAAACUCAAAGGGAUAGGCGGGGGAACACACAAGCAGUGGAUUGUCUAGAUUAAUUGGAUAGCAAGCCAAGAAUCUUACCUAGACUUGACAUAUAAUGUGUCUCAUGUGAAAGCAUGAUAAUCCGAGCAAUCGGAUACUUUAUACAGGUGGUGCAUGGUCGUCGUCAGCUCGUGCCGCAAGGUGUCUAGUUAAGUCUAGUAACGAGCGCAACCCUCAUCUAUAGUUAGAAUGUCUAUAGAGACUGCCCGGGCAACCGGGAGGAAGGGGAGGAUGACGUCAGAUCCUCAUGCCCCUUAUGUCUAGGGCUUCAUAGACAAUACAAUGGGUAGCAACAGUGAGAAGCGAAACCGUGAGGUGGAGCAAAUCUUUAAACCUACCCCUAGUUCGGAUUGUAAUCUGGAAC
RNAcentral lists this ribosomal RNA (661 nucleotides) under uncultured prokaryote. RNAcentral describes it as "bacterial SSU rRNA". It matches the Rfam family "Bacterial small subunit ribosomal RNA", at positions 641 to 1311 of the family's 1533-position model. The record is from RNAcentral.